Molecule: long non-coding RNA, 3145 nt
Organism: Anguilla rostrata (American eel)
Lineage: Eukaryota; Metazoa; Chordata; Actinopteri; Anguilliformes; Anguillidae
Exons: 2
Source: RefSeq, a predicted model, not a curated record
AGGGUGGGGGGGGGGGGGCAACCGGAACGCCGCGUUCCCGUUCGGUCCGCGGCUCCACCCUCAUAAUUAGGAAUAAUAUCGUUACGGACGCUUUCAUGUUCCUUUAAUUAAGGCGUGAGGCAAAGAAAAGAAGCCCCAUAAGGCACAUUAGCAACACCCGGAUACAAAAUGGCGGAACUGCAUUAGAAAAGGUCGUCGUUGCGACACGAAGGGUUAGCGACAGGCCCACGAGCGAAACGACUCUGCUGGUGAAUCCCACGAAUCCACGCUGCCCCAGUGUUGUCAGCCCCUGCAGUGUGUGUGAGAGACCGUACAGAAUGCACACCGAUGCUGAGAUACAGUUAGCAAUAAGCGCUGGACUUUUAAUCCGUCACGUGAAAGAAUCAAAGUCCCGUACCAUCUGGCUGAAAUGUUGUGAACAGUGAAUAGUUCUGUUGUGAAUAGUGAAUAGUUCUGUUGUGAAUAGUGUUUAUGUACCACUGGCUGAAGUAACCGACACCUCUGAAUCUCUCCGAUUGUUUGGACGAGCCCCUCCUGGUCCGUGAAAGUGGAUGGAGAGGUCAUGUAGGCAAAGAGGGUGUUCUGGCAGCACAUUGCCGAGCUCUUUACACCAUUAGUCGCACGAACGAAGUGCAUUCUGGGCCAGACAGGACGGUCCAACCUGUGACACAUUCCUGUCGCUGAGUACUGGAUGGAUUUAGCAGAGACGUAGUACCCACAUGACCUGCACAGGGUCACAGACUAACCUCUUACUGCUUCAUUAAACUUCAUUUUCGUUUUUAUGCACGCACAAAAAACAGCUUGAGAAUGUAAGAAAGCAGCGCAAUGCAGUCGUUGAAUUCUCAUUUUGCCAUUUUGCUUCUGGGACAUAACAAAUGUCAUCCUUGGCAGGAUGGUUUCAAUACCUUAUGUCGCGUCCUCCAUUAUAAAAAGGGGACGUUUUGUUUAACAUUUAAAGACAAUAGUCCAGCAGGCAAGUGCCAAGAGGCCAUCUCACACAUGUCAGUUUACUCCCCUAUAGAACAGCACAUUCAGGUUUACGUUCCUAUAGAACAGCACAUGCAAGUUUACUCUACUAUAGAACAGCACACAUCAAUAUACUCUCCUAUAGAACAGCACAUGUCAGUAUACUCCCCUAGAGAACAGCACUUGCAGGUUUACUCUACUAUAGAACAACACAUGCUAGUUUACUCCCCUAUAGAACAGCACAUAUCAGUAUAGUCUACUAUAGAACAGCACAUGCAGGUUUACUCUCCUAUAGAACAGCACAUGCAGGUUUACUCUACUAUAGAACAGCACACAUCAAUAUACUCUCCUAUAGAACAGCACAUGUCAGUAUACUCCCCUAUAGAACAGCCCAUGCAGGUUUACGCUCCUAUAGAACAGCACAUGUCAGUUUACGCUCCUAUAGAACAGCACAUGCUAGUUUACUCCCCUAUAGAACAGCACAUGUCAGUUUACUCCCCUAUAGAACAGCACAUGUCAGUUUACUCCCCUAUAGAACAGUACAUGCUAGUUUACUCCCCUAUAGAACAGCACCUUCCAGGCAUGUCUGAAUUAAUUUGUCAUCUCUUUUUACUAUAUAAUUUGUGUGUCACUCAAGCUCAGCAAGAAAUUCCAGAAUAAACAUAAGGUUUGACUCGUAAAAGUGAGUUUUAACUCAUAAGAGUCUGCAAAAGGUAGAAUGUAAGAAUGUAAUUUCUUUGGCCAUUCUAUCAAAGUGGAAUACAUUGUCUCUCUGGAGUUCCCUCUCUUUAGUACCCUUUAGCUGGACACUCCUUUAUUUGCCCUUGUUUUGAAAGCAGUCCACUGCUUAUGCCAUGACCGUGUUGUCAUCCGAAUCUGCCGUGCGGGUAAACAGGCAUUCGCACAUGGUGGGAAACCUUUUGGGAAAGCCAAGAGGCUUCAACGCUUUGCUACAGAGGGAUAAGCGCUAUUUAUACCUCCUGUUUGCGCAGGUCACGUGUCCCCAGCCGGUAGACAACAAAGCGUAAGUCACCACCAGAUCCAAGUUCAUUUAAUCGUCCACAUUCAUAUUCAUCAGGUUCACAGUUCCAAAGACUGAGGAGCAACCACUGACGGUCUGCCACAUAUGCAUGGAUUAUUAUUCAUAUAAGACAUGGAUAAAAUUAAAUGAAGGAAAAAAUUGUAUUCUGAGAGGUAAAUACUGAGGAAAUACUGUCCCUCUUAAGGUAGACUCCAUAUAUAGACGAUGCUGGCCGAAUGCGUUUUGGCCACGAACAUCAACUGCAAUUCACAUCCCCCUUGAGAAACGUGGGGGAUGGUAAAAGGUGUCUUUGUUCACGGCGAAGGGACCUUUUCCUGCUGAGCUAUCUGAGCUUCGCAUUGCCUUCUGGGAAGGCUCCGGUAUCCAUGUCGUGUGAAGGUGAUGUUCCUACUGAUGAGACCUCUGGCUCACCCCAAGGAGUGAACAUGGGAGUGUCGUCAGCCUCUGCUGUGUUCCUGGGACUGUUAAGCACUGUUGCGCUUUCCACUGAAUGUUCUAGAACAGAAUUACAUUUCACCUCCGAGGCUCCCGCUAGUUCAAAGGAUGUGCAUCAAAUAUGAGUAUAUGGAAAGCAUAUGGAAUAUAAAGACACCUGCUAUUGAUUUACUGAAAUAUACAUCUAUUUUUGUAACUAGCUGAAUUUACCUGUAAAUGUUUAAGUAUUUGUUUUGGAUAAGGUAGGAGAACAUUAUCUGUAGACCUAAAAAAAAAAAAAGAAGCUUGGAAACCCUGAAUUUUUCAGGUUGUAGUGAAGUUGAGUAAGCCUAGUGGCUUCUAUCAUAGUUGUGAAAUGACAGACUUUCUGAGGUAUUGUAUUAAAAUGACAGAAACAGAAAGCGAAACUAUUUAAUAAAAAAACUGAUCAAGAUGUGUCUUUUGUCUCAGUUAGGAGUUGUACUGUACUUUGUUUCAGUACAGAAGCUCAUCAUUAAAACUGGUAUUUCUCUUAAAGGGAUGGCCUUGUCAUUAAAACCGGUACUUCUCUUAAAGGGAUGGCCUUGACCUCUGUAGAAGUCUUCCUCCAUGCCCAGAUUAAAAAUAAAAAAGCUUAUACUGGGUUGUUUUUGUUUGUUUUAAUUUUAAUGGAUGAUGGAAUCUUUAUUACAUUGUGACAUUAAAAUAUACCGAUAAAACACA